Molecule: ribosomal RNA, 331 nt
Filed under: uncultured eukaryote
Lineage: Eukaryota
Description: partial 18S ribosomal RNA
Rfam family: Eukaryotic small subunit ribosomal RNA
Source: RNAcentral
CCCUUAGAUGUUCUGGGCCGCACGCGCGCUACACUGACGAAGUCAGCGAGCAUGUCCUACGCCGACAGGUGCGGGGAAUCUUGUCAAGCUUCGUCGUGAUGGGGAUUGAUUAUUGAAAUUCUUGAUCAUCAACGAGGAAUUCCUAGUAAGCGCAAGUCAGCAGCUUGCGUUGAUUACGUCCCUGCCCUUUGUACACACCGCCCGUCGCUACUACCGAUUGAAUGGUUUAGUGAGAUCUUCGGAUUGGCGCCACUGCGGCUCAGCAAUGGGCUCGGUGGAUGCCGAAAAGUUGAUCAAACUUGAUCAUUUAGAGGAAGUAAAAGUCGUAACA